Long non-coding RNA from Tarenaya hassleriana, 744 nucleotides. RefSeq lists it as uncharacterized. The transcript has 2 exons. Lineage: Eukaryota; Viridiplantae; Streptophyta; Magnoliopsida; Brassicales; Cleomaceae. The record is from RefSeq and is a predicted model, not a curated record.
GGAGUUGGUCGGGGAAGACGGAAGCGAUGGUGGUGUUAGCGUUUUGGAGCUCUUUGGAGAUAUGAUCGUACCGCUCGGCCAAAGCACGAUACGAAAGGGUAACGGAGGGCCCCACCCAGCCAUCGGCAGAUAGAGAACAGAGAGAGAGAGAGGGAGGCAUAUCUGUUUUCUUUCUAUUUUAAUAUUCGUAGUAAGGAAUGGUGGAGAGCAACAUUCGGCUUCGGCUCCCCUAACUUUCCUCUGUUUUCUUUUCUUUUCAAUAUUUCAAUCUAAUCCCAUCUGUAAAAACUUUAAAAAGUUAUAUAAAAAAAAAAAAGGAUCUUCAUAUAGGAAUAGUUUGUUGCAUCACACAUUGGCUCGACUCCCCUUGUGAGCCAAAAGCGAUUGCCGACGAACAAUACAAAAGAACACGUAGUUGUUGGAGAAGCAUGCGACGCGAGAUCUAAGCUGUCGGAACACACAGGUUGAAGAAAAUAAAAGUACAUUUAUUUACUCACAUCUACGGAAAAAAAGGAAUUUUCCCAACCAAUUUCUUGAAGCAAAGGGGGGAAAACCCAAUUUUCUUCACCAUUCUGCAAAAAUCCACCGAAAGGAUGCAGGGGAAAUAUCCAAAUCUCCACAUAUUUUUGGCAACCUAUGAUCAAUGAUCAUCUCUUUGCUCGGUCCCCCAUUUCUGAAAACGGUGGAAUCAAUCCACGAGGAGCUUCUUUUGUUCGCCACCCACCCACCAAAAAACAAAAAACA